RNAcentral lists this long non-coding RNA (243 nucleotides) under Salvator merianae (Argentine black and white tegu). Its description in RNAcentral is "lncRNA (ENSSMRG00000000118.1)". The record is from RNAcentral. Lineage: Eukaryota; Metazoa; Chordata; Lepidosauria; Squamata; Teiidae.
CAAUUCCAGAGGGUCAGCAAGCCUUCUGAUACAGAUGUCAGGGUUGAGAUAUCUGAUGCUGAAUCUGAACUGUAAAACUCUACUCUCUGGCUCUCCAAAUGUGGACCCAGAUAUCCCAGGACCCAAUGUGGAACCAAGGACACAAUGUGGAAGAGGGUGCCUAUUCUUAUACCCCCAAAAGUACCCUCAAGAUGUGGGGUCAGAUGUUUGGAAAGAAACAAAGGUAAACAAAAGUUUUGCAAA